Molecule: ribosomal RNA, 207 nt
Filed under: Escherichia coli
Lineage: Bacteria; Pseudomonadati; Pseudomonadota; Gammaproteobacteria; Enterobacterales; Enterobacteriaceae
Description: partial 16S ribosomal RNA
Rfam family: Bacterial small subunit ribosomal RNA
Source: RNAcentral
AAAUUGAAGAGUUUGAUCAUGGCUCAGAUUGAACGCUGGCGGCAGGCCUAACACAUGCAAGUCGAACGGUAACAGGAAGCAGCUUGCUGCUUCGCUGACGAGUGGCGGACGGGUGAGUAAUGUCUGGGAAACUGCCUGAUGGAGGGGGAUAACUGCUGGAAACGGUAGCUAAUACCGCAUAAUGUCGCAAGACCAAAGAGGGGGACC